UGGUUUGAAUUUGAUUUUUUUAAUAUGAUACUAAAUUAAUGACAUCACAUUGAAGCUUAUGAAGUCGCAAUUAUGAUUGUUUUCAUUGAUUAGAGGAGUACCUCUAAAAAGAUGAGCAUUGAUCACUAUGACGUUCAAGUCAAAUGAACGAGGUGAAACUUUACAUGUAUGAAUAAGAAGAUAUAUGGGUGUGACACGUGGUCACACAUAUAUAGAGGGGAGAAUUAUAAAUGUCUUCAGUUUGCCCCAACAUAUAUUAACGAUCUAGAUGCAAGGAUGGACAAGCUCGUGUAUGAAGCAGGUAGACAAAGGUCCAUCUGGUCAUUAGUGGUGGUGCACCCUUAUUAAAUUAGGUUAGUCUUCAUGAAUUAUUGGUCAUCCCAGAACAAUAGUCUCUCAAGUCCUUGCUAUGAACUUUAAGGAAAUGACUAUUGAUGUAGAAAUAAGUAGGGUUGACCCAAAAACUGAAUCAUUGAAAGAAUAUGUCAGUUGAGAAUGUGCUCAACUGGGAAGGCAUUUAUCGUGGCCUUGAAUGGGAGUAGUUGACCAGGGAACAUGUAAAUUGAAUGCACUUAAUUCGGGUAGAACGUUAUUGUGGCGAUGAUUUCCAUGCACCACCACACGUAGAGUAGGAAGAUGACGUGCCUAUGACUACUUGAGUGUACUUAAGUGUAGUUGGUGUUCCAAGAAUUCCCAUGAACCGUUGGAUUUGGCUUUUGGAUUUCUAGUGAAUCAAGAUCGUUGAUCAGGAUAAUCAUUGUGUCUAUGGAGUGGGAACUUGAGAUUUUAUUUCAUUUUUUGACUUCUUCUUCAUUCCUCAAGUGAAAUCAGAGAGAUAUCUUUGUGGGUUAGUCACUUUCAUGUUGCUGAGAUUUCUGGAAUUUGGAUCAAUUUGCUCGAACCAUCUUGCAUUUCACUUGAGUUCUUCGAGAAUCAUCAUUAAAACACAAGCACUGAAGCAAUGGUGGUUAAUCCUGGGAAUAAAGGGUUUUAUCCCACUCAUAUCAAACCGAGGAAAGUAUGGGCAAGUUUUAUUUUCGGAAAAGUCAAGAUGACGAACUUCGUUGUUGUUGAAAAUUCGAUGGAUGACCCCCAAGUGUAGAAGAUUGAUAGGGAUUUAGAAAUCUAGUUCAAGCAUAAGGUUAUUGAGGAUGAGGUGAGUUGGUGGUUGGAAGAGAGGUUCAAAUGUUUAACUUUCAGAAGUAGUUUUUUUGUCUUUGAACAAUAAAGAAGACACGAUGAAUAAGGUGUCACCACCAACUCUAGAACUUCCUUGUGACGCUGAGAACUAUCCUUGGGUAGAUGACAAGGUCCUGGGAAUCUAGCCAUUUUACUCUCGCAAAGAUAUAAUGAAACUUCUUUGCCUAGAUGUGGGUAUGUCAUCAUAGAAAUAUGUGACACUCCCCAUAAAUUAUUAGUGUGUUAGUAGCUGGCUUGAUAUGUGCAAAUUUCAUGUAUGAGUGUUUGUUCUCCUGGAUGAGGGUUACUCUUUCUUUCAAUAACUUUGAAUUUUUUCGAUAGCCAUUUUUUCUCUUUGAAUAGUAAAGAAGGCAUGGUGAAAAAUGUGUCACCACUAACUCUAGAUUUGCCUUGUGAUGUAGAGGAUUAUCCUUGGGUAGAUGAAGAGGUCCUAGGAAUAUAAUCCUUUUACUCAGUUAAAGAUAGAAUGGAACUUCCAUACCAAGAUGUGGGAGUGUCAUUAGACUAGAAGGUGAUGCUCUUCAUAAAUGAUAAGUGCAUCUAUAGUGGGUUUGAGAUGUGCAGAUUUCCCACGUAUAAGUGUCUGUUCUCUAGAAUGAGGGUUAAUAUUACUUUCAAUAACUUUGAAGUUGAAGUUCUUAAUCAUCUCAAAAUUUCCUUUUCACAACUGCGUCCCAUAAGUUAGGUGUAUGUAAAGGUUUUUUAUUAUCGGUAUGGGUACAUGAAUAACUCUCAUAUGUUCUACGUGUUGAUGAGGUUUAAUAAUCCUGGCCAUCCUCAAGGAUUGAUCUCCUUGAAUCAAGGUCGUAAUUUUUUUGAAGUGUACAUGGAUAGCAUCAAGAACUUCAAGAAUAAGUAUUACUAUGUCGCCCCCAUUAACCUUACUGCACAUGAAAGUCUCUACAAGAUUCCAACAAGGGCGCUUGAUGAAGAAGAUAGGGUGUCAUGUGGAUAAGCAAUGGGAUGAUUUUGAAUCCAUAACGUAUGAGGGUAAUUCCUUCGAGAUUCAUAUGAGUUAGGAGAUAAAGGUAGGCCAAUCUAGAGAGCACGACACUCCCCCUCCGCAACCUAGUUGCGAGGACAAGUUCAAAAAGUGGUGGUCUCAUUAUCCAUGGCCUAGGGAGAUACACUUACAAAAAAAACUAUCCUAAGAGUAAUAUAGCUUUAAGAGAACCCUUGUUAGGUUUCGGGGGGCCUUAGAAUGUACAAAGGAAGUUGAUCAUGACGGUUCCAACCCACCCUAAAAGAAACCUUGAUAUGAUGACACUUGCCUUUUUCUCGAGGCAAGCAACAACGAGCAAAGGAAUGAAAGUUUUGGUGAUAAGUGUUUCCAUCCUCUAUUCUUGUUGUUUUAUUUUCCUAUUUUGUUGCUAUUAUUUUUGUGAUCAAAUGCAUGUCGUACUUUCUUAUAGAUGGUAUGGAUAAACUAGAUAUUAUAAUGGUCAUGAAGAAGAGAGAAAAUGCUACUAUGUCCCCAUUAGUAGUACUGGUAAUGUUUGUUGACAUUGUUGAUAGAGAUGUCUUGGAGCAAGAGGUACCAAUGGAUGUGGACGUUAGCAUAAAGGAAAAAGAUACCACUAAGAAGGGACAUGUCUUGAAAAAGGUGGAUGCUAGGAGGAAGGUUGAUGCUAGGAGGAAGGUUGAUGCACUUAAAAAGGCUUGUACAAGGGCGGUUUCCAAGCCUAGCGGUAAGAGGGCUAAUGCUUCAAAGGCCUCGAGUGAUUUGUAUAGUAGGACAAGGUCAAACAAGGCUCCCAAAACUGGCUUACCUACACUAAAAAUAUAAAAAGGACCCAAACCAAGAUUCACUAGAUUUAUGGGAAAUUAUUUUUUUUCAUAAGCACUCACCCAUUUUCAACUUCUUCUCGCCUUCGUGAACAAAAGGCACUAGGCUAUGAGGGAUUUCAUACACUUCGUCUCUGAAUGUUUCUCUGAAAAAUUCGCCAAGUUGAGUGGGACAGCUACAUGUGAGAUGAUUGUGGAGGCACUUUAUCACAUGGAAAGACUUGUUAAUAUCAACUAUUCGAUAGCUGGUGGUAAGGAUGAAGUCUUGGCCUUGGGGAAGCUAUGCGGGGAGUGGAAAAUUAUGAGAACGGGGUUGGAAACUUCCAACUCAAAUAGGGAGAAGGACCUUAAAGAGCUCGACACUGCCAAGAAGUUAAUCAAGGAAUACUCUAACAUGCAAGCCAGCCAUGAUAAGCAUUCCAAGAAGUUUUGAACUCUUUUUGAGUUGAAGAAAAAUGGAUGAGUUUUAUGACCUUACCGGAAAGCAACGUAAAUAUAUGGGCGAUAAAGAGGUUUCCCUCGACAAGCCUCAAUUUGCUCUGACCACUAAAGAUAAUGCUCUCUCGAGGGCUAAUGAAUCCCCCGCCAAAGUCCGAGAAGUUAUGAAUGAUAAGGAUGAUACUUUAAAUAAAGCUCAAGAAGCUCUAAGCAUCAAGAAAGAGGCUACCAAGGAAGCCGAAGAAACCUUGAAGAUAGUUGGGAUAGAAUGAUAGCGCUUAGAGGCAUAUCCCGAGAAACAAUGAGUCAUUUGAGAAUGGUUUGAAUCAUGUUGAGCUUAUCCAUCCUGAGGUUAAGAUAUAGCUAGCGAAAUUUUGAAAUGAAGUUUAAAGUGGCAUUCUCUUUAUAUAACUGUCUUUGCUUUGUUAUUUGUAUAGAGUCUUAUUUAUUGUCUACAAAAUGGGUUAUGAACAUUUAUGAAAUCAAAUCUUUCUAUUGUAAGAAGCUUGGUAAAUAUAGCAGUCCACUGAUGAUAUGUAUCAAUGAACUAUAUAUCUAUUACACCUUUCUAAACAUAAUCUAUGAUAAAAUGAUGUUUUAUUUC
Molecule: RNA transcript, 4027 nt
Organism: Lathyrus oleraceus (garden pea)
Lineage: Eukaryota; Viridiplantae; Streptophyta; Magnoliopsida; Fabales; Fabaceae
Exons: 2
Source: RefSeq, a predicted model, not a curated record